This 219-nucleotide long non-coding RNA is filed under the name Lathyrus oleraceus (garden pea). Its description in RNAcentral is "Pisum sativum (pea) long non-coding RNA (PSAT_LNC007552)". The record is from RNAcentral. Lineage: Eukaryota; Viridiplantae; Streptophyta; Magnoliopsida; Fabales; Fabaceae.
AAAUUUUGGGGUGUUACAGUUUGUACCUUACUUGUUAUCCUGCAUAACUUUAGUUCUCAUAAAUUAUUAAGAUAUUAAUGUUCACAGUGCAUCAAGAGGUUUAAAUAUGUAUUUUCAUCAUAGCUGUAUUAGUUCUCCCCCUUUUUGUCAGACUCAAAAAGACAUAGAAAAUGAAGCGAGAAACAGAUAUUCAUAUAUAUGAGAAAAACUGGUACAGAU